UACGGGGGGAGCAAGCGUUGUUCGGAUUUACUGGGCGUAAAGGGCGCGUAGGCGGCCACCGCAAGUCAGUUGUGAAAGCUCUGGGCUUAACCCAGAAAGGUCAACUGAUACUGCGGGGCUAGAGUGCAGAAGGGGCAACUGGAAUUCUCGGUGUAGCGGUGAAAUGCGUAGAUAUCGAGAGGAACACCUGCGGCGAAGGCGGGUUGCUGGGCGUGACAC
RNAcentral lists this ribosomal RNA (219 nucleotides) under uncultured bacterium. RNAcentral describes it as "partial 16S ribosomal RNA". It matches the Rfam family "Bacterial small subunit ribosomal RNA", at positions 524 to 740 of the family's 1533-position model. The record is from RNAcentral.